This 460-nucleotide ribosomal RNA is filed under the name uncultured bacterium. RNAcentral's name for it is "partial 16S ribosomal RNA". It matches the Rfam family "Bacterial small subunit ribosomal RNA", at positions 338 to 795 of the family's 1533-position model. The record is from RNAcentral.
CCUACGGGAGGCAGCAGUGAGGAAUAUUGGUCAAUGGGCGAGAGCCUGAACCAGCCAAGUCGCGUGAAGGAUGAAGGAUCUAUGGUUUGUAAACUUCUUUUAUAUGGGAAUAAAGUGAGGAACGUGUUCCUUUUUGUAUGUACCAUAUGAAUAAGCAUCGGCUAACUCCGUGCCAGCAGCCGCGGUAAUACGGAGGAUGCGAGCGUUAUCCGGAUUUAUUGGGUUUAAAGGGUGCGUAGGUGGUUAAUUAAGUCAGCGGUGAAAGUUUGUGGCUCAACCAUAAAAUUGCCGUUGAAACUGGUUGACUUGAGUAUAUAUGAGGUAGGCGGAAUGCGUGGUGUAGCGGUGAAAUGCAUAGAUAUCACGCAGAACUCCGAUUGCGAAGGCAGCUUACUAAACUAUAACUGACACUGAAGCACGAAAGCGUGGGGAGCAAACAGGAUUAGAUACCCCUGUAGUC